CGGGACGAAACUCCAGACUGAUAUACCGAGCGACCGACUGAUCAUCAGUCGAUCGGGGGUUCAAAUCCCUCCGACCCCA
Molecule: transfer RNA, 79 nt
Filed under: Haloprofundus marisrubri
Lineage: Archaea; Methanobacteriati; Methanobacteriota; Halobacteria; Halobacteriales; Haloferacaceae
Description: tRNA-Ile
Source: RNAcentral